CCCUUAGAUGUUCUGGGCUGCACGCGCGCUACACUGAUGCACUCAACGAGUUUACGACCUUGUCCGAGAGGAAUGGGUAACCUUUUGAAAGUGCAUCGUGAUAGGGAUAGACUAUUGCAAUUAUUGGUCUUCAACGAGGAAUUCCUAGUAGACGUAGUUCAUCAGACUGCAUCGAUUACGUCCCUGCCCUUUGUACACACCGCCCGUCGCUCCUACCGAUUGAAUGCUCAGGUGAGCCAUUCGGACUUUCAUCAUGCUGGUUUCCAGUUUUGAUGAAGGAAAGUCUUGCGAACCUUAUCAUUUAGAGGAAGGAGAAGUCGUAACA
Molecule: ribosomal RNA, 325 nt
Filed under: uncultured eukaryote
Lineage: Eukaryota
Description: partial 18S ribosomal RNA
Rfam family: Eukaryotic small subunit ribosomal RNA
Source: RNAcentral